RNAcentral lists this transfer RNA (76 nucleotides) under bacterium. RNAcentral's name for it is "tRNA-Arg". It matches the Rfam family "tRNA". From Rfam's summary of the family: Transfer RNA (tRNA) molecules are approximately 80 nucleotides in length. The record is from RNAcentral. RNAcentral also lists the same sequence under 3 other names.
CCGGCUGUAGCUCAGUGGAUAGAGCACUGGUCUUCGGAACCAGGUGUCGGGGGUUCGAAUCCCUCCAGCCGGGCCA